UUCAUUUCAGUGCUGCACUUCGAACACAGGACAUGAAAACGGAGGUGCGAUUAAUGCUCAUUAUCCUCAGGUUGAAUGCAAUCAUCCCAGAGCUCCUGGCCAAUGAACAGAUAGUACAGUCUCCCCUGGCACUGGAAGCUGCAGAAGGUUCCACAGUGACAAUGCACUGCAGCACCAGUGCCUUGCUCAGCUUCGUGAAGUGGUAUCAGUGGCGGUGUGGACGGGAUCUGAAGCUUCUAAUCGUCGCCUCCAGCAGCAUGGUCACAGCAGGGAAGGUUCAGGCCACUCUUCACCGGGAACAGAAACGCAGCACCUUGACCAUCAGCGACAUCGGCAGGGAUGAUGCUGCCAUCUACCUCUGCGGGGUGAUCACCACCAUGAUACAAUCCCAUGAGUAUGCAGUACAGAAACCCCAGGGAGACAAGAGCUAUAUCGACAGCCUCACAAUCUCAAGGUUAUGGAGUAGCAGUAGUACGUACUUCAAAUAUUUUGAGUGGUUCUGAGCUGAUCCAUAACAAAAUAUCACUGAAAUCUUACUCAAUGUGAAUCAGGAGUGCAUGCAUUUUCUAAACAACAUUUAUCAGACAUGUUGCACAAACAUCUAGACUAGGUGAGGCCAGAAACUAUUUGAGCCAAAGGGCGUGAUACUGCCAGUGCACACAACUGACCAUAAUUGGUUGAAAAUGUGGAGCUCCUGUGUGCAAUCUGGAAUAUGUGACGAUGCUAUGGCUCUUAGGGGUUACUUUGUCCCGGUAUCUUUUAAGACAGAAACAAAACAAGAGACUAAACAAGAGGCGCAGAGCUGGCUAGUGAAGACCAACUUGGGCGGCCUUGGCAUUGUUUUAUGGCCUUAAUAGAAUGUUGCCUGUUCUUACAGGUCAGGAUUUCUGGGGUUUGGAUUUUUCAGUAGCAUCAGAAGCUGUUGGAGUCCCAGCAGAGUUGAAAACUUCAGCAGAUGUCUCCUCACUGCUCCUCUCCGAAUUUUCUCUUGAUAACUUUUUCCACUUGGGUUGGAGAACUCCAUUUGGUAAUCUGUGUCUGACAUGACCGUUUUGCUAAGGAGAACAUGUACGCGAUGUUACUACACUGGAACAGUUAAUUAGGAACAGUCAAUGUGUGCAUUAUUCUGUGAGUUUUCUUCUGGAGUCAAUUCAUUCAAAAAUGCUUCUUUUUUUGUU
Molecule: non-coding RNA, 1178 nt
Organism: Hemiscyllium ocellatum (epaulette shark)
Lineage: Eukaryota; Metazoa; Chordata; Chondrichthyes; Orectolobiformes; Hemiscylliidae
Source: the annotation of a RefSeq genome assembly